GUCUACAGCCAUGCCACCUUGAACAUGCCCGAUCUCGUCUGAUCUCGGAAGCUAAGCAGGGUUGAGCCUGGUUAGUACUUAGAUGGGAGACCACCUAAGAAUACCAGGUGCUGUAGGCG
Molecule: ribosomal RNA, 119 nt
Filed under: Pteropus alecto (black flying fox)
Lineage: Eukaryota; Metazoa; Chordata; Mammalia; Chiroptera; Pteropodidae
Source: RNAcentral